Molecule: transfer RNA, 65 nt
Filed under: Ixodes trichosuri
Lineage: Eukaryota; Metazoa; Arthropoda; Arachnida; Ixodida; Ixodidae
Description: tRNA-Asn
Source: RNAcentral
UUAAUAGAAGCCAAAAUUUCAGAGGCUAUUCACUGUUAAUGAAUUCAUUGUAAUCACCUAUUAAA